Oreochromis aureus is the source of this 5383-nucleotide long non-coding RNA. Lineage: Eukaryota; Metazoa; Chordata; Actinopteri; Cichliformes; Cichlidae. The record is from Ensembl.
GUGUGAGCUCACUGGGCUCUGACAGCAGGGAUCAAAACAACAUGUGAACCAGCCACGACACGGACCACCAUCAAAACAAGCGAGCACCCACGACAAGUCUCCCAUAGCUACAUCACAAGAGAAGCUGUGAUGUACCAUGGGUAGCUGACCAAGGAAAGACACCCCACCUUGCAAUGUGCUGCUUUAGCUUCCCAGCAUAAGAAAAACUCCAGCAAAGGAAAACAAACGAAGCAGAGAAGACAAACGGAACGAGUGCGGUUUCAAAUCCCUCCGUCAAAUGUGACCUGCUAGAAACUUUGAAACAAACAGAUGUACACACUCCUCAUCCCUCAAGCAGUUCCUCUGUAGCAGCAGUAUGUCUGUCAGUUCUUUCAUCAUGUUAUGAAAUAAGAAGAGAGCACAAGAGGAACCUGUUGCUGGGCUAUAAGACCAAAGCAGCCCAGAGAAAAAAUGGUAAUGCAAGCAAGAGCGGCGGCAGGGGUCUGCCGGGGUGUAACCAUAGCUGCUAAACUCGCAUUCAGGCCUUUUCCAGAGCAGGGCUCAGAGUAUGCAGACGACCUAGGGGCUAGAGACUUAGGGAGGACUUUAAGCUUCUUUGUCAAGCUCCUCGGAGCUCAGUCGACUGCUGUGAAGAGGCCGAAGCAUGCAGCUGUCUAGCAACAAGAAACCCCUCAUACCACAGAUACUGGCCUGUGGUUAAGGAGUCUGUUUCCCAGAUUCCAGAUGACGUCCUGACAGGAGGGCUGAGUGACUGGAGGUGAGGCUGUGUGAUGACAGACCAGGGCCUUUAUCAGUGACCAGCACACUGCCGGCUUGCUGUUUGAAGAUUAACUGGCAGAUUGAAACCCAAAACUGCUCUCAUUCCUGCUUGACUCCCUGCCUCUUUACAUAUUUUCCCUUUUUUUUCUCUCUUUUCUUUUUUUCUUCCUUUUAACCCCUAGCUCACUGGCUGUAGGAACUCACUGGGUUUAAUGUAAUUGGCCUAUUUCCUGCAUAUGAAGUUCCCGGUUUGUUGUAAUUGACUUGGUCUUUUAUUGGCUGUGAGACAGGUUAAAUGGGAACCAAAUGGAGAGGCAACACAGGAAGCUUAGGCCCGGGCUAUCUGAUACUCAUCAAAUCAGUCAACCUGGAUGCAGAACAGCAAAGUGCUGAGAAUGUGGCCGCAGUGAUUAGCAGCUGCAUAAGGAUUAGUAAGGUAGUAACAUAUUGGCAUAUGUUAGUCAAUCUUGGCAGUGAGUGAUGUUGUUAAGACGUAGUCUGUCCCACAAUAUGGCACUAGUUUACUGUGCAGAGGAGGAUAUUUUCAGCUCUUUUUCCACGUGGAGCUAUUUAUUUCUUAUGGGCAAAGCUGAAAUCUUAUCAGCCAAGGAUGUCAAGAUCAACUUCCUUUUUUAAAAAAAAAAUAAAAUUAUUUGAUUACGUUAUUUUGUAGCCUCAGCCGACUCAGUCUCUCUGCUGUUUCCUCUCAGCGGAGAAGAGGCAUGGAGAUAACCUUAUUCAGCUUGUUUCAUCAAAACAUCUCAUGCCACAGUAAAUGACAUUCAACAAAGCUGAUCUUCUGCUCUUUGAUGUUUGCCAGAGUAAAUGGACUAUCAAUGCAAAGUAUAAACACUCCUCUAUGCUAAUGUUCCUCUGGGGGUCUUUGAUGGCACCAGUAGUAUCUGUGAAGUGUGUUUUGAAAAAUUGCAUUGGUAAGCCAUCCAAAUAGCAAGAAUUAAAGCCUUUUCACUCACGGUGCCUUUUCAGCCAAGGGCGAAAAAAAAAAAAAAAUUGUACUCUGUAGUGGGAAAAUUGGAGCACAAACAAGGUACAGAGUAAGUGACUUGUAACAGACAGUACGGGCCAACCAAACUGGCAGUGUGGCAGGGGUCCAGUUGACUGCCAGGUGACAUCAUUUGGCAUUGUUUCACCACUCCAUUUAUUUUAUUGUGCUCAUUGUCCUCCCACAUUCACUCAAUCAAGUGGGCCUUUUUGUGCUGGUUGUUUAGGUAGUCCAGGUGCACCAUGCUAGUGGAGGCUUCCUGUCUCCCCAGAAAUCUUUUCAAUACCUCUCCUGCCGCGGGUAUUGUCAUAUCCCACAGUGCAUCUGAAAAGAAGCAGCAGCCCUGCGUAAAUGUCAGAGAGGUGAUUUGUUUUUAACUCUUAGCAGUCACCAAAUGCCUUGUGUGGGAGUCUGAGUGUGGGUGCACAAGUGAAUAAACACACAGCUGUCUCUCUGGAGCAUUUCCUCACUUUGCUGCAAUGUACAGUAUUUUAUAGUAGGGUUUACAGUGUGGCGCCCCCUGUUGAUAUGGUGCUUUUUUUAAACAUAGUAUUGACAGUGUGAUUUAAAGGUGUCCUUUGACUGUAACUACUGCAUUUUAUUUUAUACACAAUGAGCCAGCUAUGAGGGUUUUUCUCUUUUUUUUUUUGAGUGUUCUUUAAAUGCCUUGUUUUUAAUACAUCAGAGAAAGAACAAGUCUGGAUUUAUCACAUAAACUGGAGGAAAGAUGCUCCGGGCUUUCAUGUGGAGGUACAGUUUAUCUAGGAAAGGCGCCAGCAAAGUUUUCUUCAGAUGUAAGUUAAUUCCACUUCUCCCUGACACCCAAAAUAACAAGGUAUUAUUCAUUUAAAAGCGAGAAAAGACACUUUUCUGAUUGGCAAAGAAAGUUGGAAAAAAAAAUCAGUUUUAAAAAGUGUGAAAAGACUCAAAAUAUAGUGACAGCUUAAUCAUCUGCUCAUUAGAUUGGCUUAGUUUUUUCACCAGUAUUUUAGGAGAUUUCACACUUUCCAGCCGGGCCUAAUGUUUUGCAGCAAAGAGAUAAUUUAUUUUAGAUCACAGAGGUGCCACCGUUUCCCUCGCUGUGUUUUUUUUAGAAGGACAGAAGGACAAUGAGAUGAACUUUUCUAAUGACUGUAGCAUGAGUGAGAAGACUAGUAGAGACCAAGCCAAGGAGGAAGCCACAUAAGUAAAGCCAUGUCAAGUUCAAUUAGACCAGCUGAAGAGUUUAGCAGGCAGAGCUGACACAGUCCAAUUUGCCCAACAUAUUCAGCCCACCUUUUCCACAUGUGCUCACUGCUCACAGCUUUCAGCACCAAGUUUGGACAAAUAUUCACACUUUCCCACAUAAACCUCUCGGGGAAAGAUGCCCCGGACUUUCAUUUGGGAGGUGCAGUUCAUCUAGGAAAGCCGUCAGCCAAGCUUCCUCCAAAUGUACGUUAAUUCCACCCCCACUCUCUACUUGACAAAGUAUUAUUCCUUAAAAAGAGGGGGGGAAAAGACACUUAUCGGUCUAUUUUUUCUCUCCCCUUUCUCCUUUUUUCAUUCACCCGCAGCCUCUUUCUGUUGUACACACACCGAAACACACAGAGCUGUACCCUGUGGUGAAUGUCUCACAUAUGCCAUCCAGUUAGCAGGAUAUUUUUGUCUGUGUGAGUGGGCAGCGGUGUCACUCAGCGAGCUUUGAGCUUAGCGGAGGGAGAACUGUGAAAGCCAGUCACUAACAAGCAGAGAGAUUCCCUCCCUGCGUCCCACAGCCAGAUGGCUAAUCUGGGCAGAAUAGGAAACAUACUUUAUAAUCAGAUUUACAGAGGUGGAAAAAAAAAAAACAUACACAAACACCAUAACAAUUCAAAUGCCUUGUGGUCACAAGCUGUCUGGAAUGAGGUGACAACGACAUAAAACAAAGUCCCUUCAAAAUGGUUUCAAUAAUUAGACGGACUGGAGUGGCUUCGGUUAGCCUAUAAAACAACUGCCGGGGCUUGAGGCUGGUCCUGCAAAUUGGAAUCACUUGUGUCUCUGCGUUUGUGUCAGGUCAGCAUUAAGUGGAUGACAGCUGAAGAAAAAGAGCUAUUUAUUUAUUUGUUUUCUCCUUUAAGGAACGGGGCAGUAUCCAAGUCUCUUUUCAACCACUAAAAAAUACCAAUAAUAUAUACAUAUAAAACACUCUCCUUCUGUCUACCUCUGCCUGUGGCCUGAAUGAUGACAGGCAUGAUUCCUGCUGGUGCCCUGCCAGUGCAUUGCCCAAGGAUGCCCACGGGUGUUUGAGGCAGCGUAUCCAUUAGCUACCUGUGUAGACUGCUCCUCUGGGAUAUUCAGAGACUGAUGUCUGCUUUCCUUCUAUUGUUGAGACUCCUGAGCCACACAGACCAACACACGUGCACCUGAAGCCAACCAUCUGGCCAAGACGUGAGGACCAUGCUGCUGCAGCCUCCGAUGAGCUGACCACUUACUCCUCUUCCUGUCACUCAGCCUCAUCAGCUGGUGCUGUCAACACAGGUGGCAUUCCCUUAUUCCUUCUCUACUGAGGAAAGAAGAAGCCGAUGGAUAUAUUAUGCUUCAGGCUGUAAAUACAUAAUGUGAGCAGAAAAACACAAUCCGCUGUAUUACAACAUCUCUGCGAAGACUGUCCAGCUGAGAAAUUUAUGGAGUUGUUGCUUGUAUUGUUUUUAUAACAGUGUAAGGGCAAUAAAUGCAGAUUGAUUAGGCCAAGCUAUUAUAGAAUUUAAGUGGCAAUAUGUACAACAAAACCCCUAUAAUGUACUAAUUAAACUUGUUGGUUGCUUGGUUGUUGGCUGUUUUGGUGAAUAAGAGUAGCGUAUGUAUAUUUUUUGCUUUUCAACAAAAGUGCAACAUUUUUAGGCGGUUCUGAAUUGUGCAAAGAAUGCAAAGCCCAGUCAUUACUGUUUACACCAAAGUGUGGAAUCGGACACUUCAUGUUGAACACCGGGAAUAAGGAACAGCUGUUUGAUGGAGGAAAACUAAUGAUGUCAUGCCCAAAAACAUCAGCGGGGACACCAACACCACGGGGGCUGUCACUCAACAACAGAAUGUCAGCGGCAGAAGGGUCUCUGUUUGGGGAAGGCUUUUGUCAAUCAUCUCUAAGGUAGCGGGGAAGCAGGUGGGUCGGCCAAUCGCAGAAGGUCCCAGCACAGCAGGCCCGCGACCAGGAAGUGGAAGCGCCAUCUGGAGUGAGGAUGAGCUGUGAGUGGGCAUUUGAAACAAAGUAACGACAUGCUGGAAGAAAGCUGGUGGUGUGUGUGUCUCUGGAUAUAACAAGGGCAUUUGGAUUCAUGCUGCCUAUCACACCCACUCUGUUGCUGAUUCUACUAGUCAGAUGGUGCUUAUUAAAGAUGUGCACCAGCAGCCAUUCCUCUCAUAUAGGGGUUGAAGACCAGUGUGUGAUACCUAACUGGUAUGAUGGGUAGAAUACUGUUACUGGCAUUAAUGUGGCAUGCAAGACACUGUAACCCCCUACCCACACUGAUUAGGGAAACAGACCUUCCAUCACACACACAUAUAUUUAUCAUUGUAUUAAUGUUAUGAGCUGGCAAAUUGUCAACUGCGAAUGUUAAAGUGACACCCUGCUGGUGAAAAUAGACUGAAUAAAACUGGCAAAUUGAA